Long non-coding RNA from Ruditapes philippinarum (Manila clam), 605 nucleotides. RefSeq lists it as uncharacterized. The record is from RefSeq and is a predicted model, not a curated record. Lineage: Eukaryota; Metazoa; Mollusca; Bivalvia; Venerida; Veneridae. The transcript is spliced from 3 exons.
UACUACGCUAGCAGUCGAUAAAAAUUUAAUGAGAACCAGUUAAUUUGUUCUACCUUCUGGUUCCCGAUGCACGAGAGCCAAAGUACUUGCAUACAUUUGGUGCCAAUUUUAUCAAGUCAUAAAAUUAACUAACUAUCAUAGAACACAAUAAUUCAGGAAAAAUGGAAUACGAUUUUCAUAUUAGAUAACUUUCAAGCUUAAAAUGGUUAAAAAGUGUGAAUGACAGAGUAAAAAUUUGUAUGCGUAUGAAUACGAACUAUAUUCCCUCUGACGUCAUUUUCCCGAAAUCGCCAUCUUGGUCAGUUAUUCCGAGAAAAGGCUGAGAAGAUUUGCUAUCAAUUACGAAGUCCCAGCUAUUACGUUGAUAUUUUGGUUGCAAUCUAUUCCAUCUUGGUGUAUUGUCUUCAUACUUGGCCACAACAACCCUUCAAAUAGACCAGACUAAACUUGACCUCCAUAUAAACAUUCAAGAUGGUUGGCCUACAUGUCAGAUUUGUGAAUGUGAACGGCAGGAUAUCGAGUUUAAGGAUGCUUUAGGGUCAAUGAGAAUGAAAUCAAGAGAGAUAAAGGCUAAAAAUGUGAGACUGUCAAUCUGACAAACCUUG